Molecule: non-coding RNA, 27 nt
Filed under: Homo sapiens (human)
Lineage: Eukaryota; Metazoa; Chordata; Mammalia; Primates; Hominidae
Source: RNAcentral
UGUGGUUCAAGAGAGAAGAGUGCACUC